CUGGAUCAGUGGCGAACGGGUGAGUAACACGUGGGCAACCUGCCCUUCACUUCGGGAUAACUCCGGGAAACCGGGGCUAAUACCGGAUACGAGGCCUGCAGGCAUCUGCGGGUCUGGAAAGUUUUUCGGUUGAAGAUGACCUCGCGGCCUAUCAGCUUGUUGGUGAGGUAAUGGCUCACCAAGGCGACGACGGGUAGCCGGCCUGAGAGGGCGACCGGCCACACUGGGACUGAGACACGGCCCAGACUCC
RNAcentral lists this ribosomal RNA (250 nucleotides) under uncultured bacterium. RNAcentral describes it as "partial 16S ribosomal RNA". It matches the Rfam family "Bacterial small subunit ribosomal RNA", at positions 87 to 339 of the family's 1533-position model. The record is from RNAcentral.